RNAcentral lists this ribosomal RNA (457 nucleotides) under uncultured bacterium. RNAcentral describes it as "bacterial SSU rRNA". It matches the Rfam family "Bacterial small subunit ribosomal RNA", at positions 29 to 531 of the family's 1533-position model. The record is from RNAcentral.
AACGAACGCUGGCGGCAGGCCUAACACAUGCAAGUCGAGCGAACCCUUCGGGGUUAGCGGCGGACGGGUUAGUAACGCGUGGGAAUAUACCCUUUGGUACGGAAUAGCCUCGGGAAACUGAGAGUAAUACCGUAUGUGCCCUUCGGGGGAAGAUUAUCGCCAAAGGAUUAGCCCGCGUUGGAUUAGAUAGUUGGUGGGGUAAUGGCCUACCAAGUCUACGAUCCAUAGCUGGUUUGAGAGGAUGAUCAGCAACACUGGGAUUGAGACACGGCCCAGACUCCUACGGGAGGCAGCAGUGGGGAAUCUUAGACAAUGGGCGCAAGCCUGAUCUAGCCAUGCCGCGUGGACGACGAAGGCCUUAGGGUUGUAAAGUCCUUUCAGAUGGGAAGAUAAUGACGGUACCAUCAGAAGAAGCCCCGGCUAACUCCGUGCCAGCAGCCGCGGUAAUGUCUGUACU